AAACCUAUGGCUUUUGUGCUCACUUUGGCAGGACACAGCCCCUGCGCAAGGAUAACACACAAAUUCAUGAAGUGUUCCAUAUUUUU
RNAcentral lists this small nuclear RNA (86 nucleotides) under Bos indicus x Bos taurus (hybrid cattle). The record is from RNAcentral. Lineage: Eukaryota; Metazoa; Chordata; Mammalia; Artiodactyla; Bovidae.